AAUAGAUACCCGGGUAGUCCACGCCGUAAACGAUGAGUGCUAGGUGUUGGUGGGGACACCCAUCAGUGCCGCAGCUAACGCAUUAAGCACUCCGCCUGGGGAGUACGGUCGCAAGACUGAAACUCAAAGGAAUUGACGGGGACCCGCACAAGCAGCGGAGCAUGUGGUUUAAUUCGACGCAACGCGAAGAACCUUACCAGGGCUUGACAUCCCUCUGACCGGAUUAGAGAUAGUCCUUUCUCUUCGGAGACAGAGGAGACAGGUGGUGCAUGGUUGUCGUCAGCUCGUGUCGUGAGAUGUUGGGUUAAGUCCCGCAACGAGCGCAACCCUUGCCUUUAGUUGCCAUCAGGUAAAGCUGGGCACUCUAGAGGGACUGCCGGUGACAAACCGGAGGAAGGUGGGGAUGACGUCAAAUCAUCAUGCCCCUUAUGUCCUGGGCUACACACGUGCUACAAUGGUCGGUACAACGGGAAGCGAGACUGCGAAGUUUAGCCAAUCCCAAUAAGCCGAUCCCAGUUCGGAUUGU
This 526-nucleotide ribosomal RNA is filed under the name uncultured bacterium. RNAcentral describes it as "bacterial SSU rRNA". It matches the Rfam family "Bacterial small subunit ribosomal RNA", at positions 777 to 1301 of the family's 1533-position model. The record is from RNAcentral.